UUCUUCAUGGACACUGGACAAGAGCUCGAGACCCACCCAGUGCGGUGGUGCUGGGCAGCUCCUCCCUCCCUAUUGGCUGUUCUGCCAACCUCACGACACCAUCAUAGAAGACUUCAGAGACUGACUCUUGCAGGUUGAACUGUGUCCUCCAAAAAGAUACGUUGAGUCCCUAACCCCCAGUACCUGUGAACGUGACCCUAUCCGGAAAUAGAGUUUUUGUGGAUGUAAUCAUACUGGAUUUGGAUGAACCCUAAUCGAAGAUGACCAGGGUCCUUCUAAGAAGAGAAUAGAUGCAUGUGCGUGCACACACGCACACACACACACACACAGGACCAUGUGACAACUGAGGCAGAGAUUGGAGUGACGUGUCUGCCAGCAAAAAAUGCCAAGGAUUGCCAGCAACCACCUAUGGUCUCCUCCCUAGAUCAUCUAGAGAGAACACAGCCAUGCUGACAUCAUCAUUUCAGGUCUCUAUCCUCUGGAACUGCAAUAUAAUAAACUUCUGUAGUUUUAAGCCA
Molecule: long non-coding RNA, 518 nt
Filed under: Pongo abelii (Sumatran orangutan)
Lineage: Eukaryota; Metazoa; Chordata; Mammalia; Primates; Hominidae
Description: lincRNA
Source: RNAcentral